GCUCAGGAUGAACGCUGGCGGCGUGCUUAACACAUGCAAGUCGAACGAAACACCUUAUCUGAUUUUCUUCGGAACUGAAGAUUUGGUGAUUGAGUGGCGGACGGGUGAGUAACGCGUGGGUAACCUGCCCUGUACAGGGGGAUAACAGUCAGAAAUGACUGCUAAUACCGCAUAAGACCACAGCACCGCAUGGUGCAGGGGUAAAAACUCCGGUGGUACAGGAUGGACCCGCGUCUGAUUAGCUGGUUGGUGAGGUAACGGCUCACCAAGGCGACGAUCAGUAGCCGGCUUGAGAGAGUGAACGGCCACAUUGGGACUGAGACACGGCCCAAACUCCUACGGGAGGCAGCAGUA
This 354-nucleotide ribosomal RNA is filed under the name uncultured bacterium. RNAcentral describes it as "bacterial SSU rRNA". It matches the Rfam family "Bacterial small subunit ribosomal RNA", at positions 22 to 356 of the family's 1533-position model. The record is from RNAcentral.